Molecule: long non-coding RNA, 388 nt
Organism: Clupea harengus (Atlantic herring)
Lineage: Eukaryota; Metazoa; Chordata; Actinopteri; Clupeiformes; Clupeidae
Exons: 2
Source: RefSeq, a predicted model, not a curated record
CAUCUCUGGACCCCAGCUAUUACAAUAUAUGUACCUCUAGACCUCUGCUGUAUCACAUGCAGUAUCACCACAGCAGAAAUAAGACAUUGUGUGUGAAAGGUUUUGAUGAGCUCUGUGUUGCAUAACCUCACUCUCCCAAGUGUUUAGUCCCUCUGUUAUUGCAUACACGUUCUGAUAUCUGGUUUUAUAUGACAACCACCACAAUAAUAUGUACCAUGUCAGUAAAUCUUAAUGAGACUGUAUUCAUCCAACAAUUGACCCCCAAUGAAAUGUCUUCCUCUGUUUCUUUAUUAAUACCAUUGUAAUGAGACCAAUAUGUUUUAAAAUCUUUCUGGUGCAAAAUGAUGAAUAAAGAGUUAUAGACUGGCAUUCAAUGUGCCCUAAUGUA